AGAGUUUGAUCCUGGCUCAGGACGAACGUUGGCGGCGUGUCUAAGACAUGCAAGUCGAAGGGAUCGGUUACUCUUCGGAUUAGCGGGAACCGGCAAACGGGUGAGUAACACACUGGUAACCUACCUGCGAGACGGGGAUAGCCCAUCGAAAGAUGGAUUAAUACCCGAUAGUCAUGGGGGGACAUAAGUCGUUCCCAUGUAAAUACUUUUUGGCCCGCAGAGGGGCCUAUGGCUGAUUAGCUAGUUGGUGGGGUAAAGGCCUACCAAGGCUACGAUCAGUAGCAGGCGUGAGAGCGUGACCUGCCUCACUGGGACUGAGACACUGCCCAGACUCCUACGGGAGGCUGCAGUCAAGAAUAUUCCACAAUGGACGAAAGUCUGAUGGAGCGACGCCGCGUGCAGGAAGACGCCCUUCGGGGUGUAAACUGCUUUUCUAAGGGAAGAAUUUGGGACGGUACCUUAGGAAUAAGAGGGUGCUAACUCUGUGCCAGCAGCAGCGGUAAUACAAAGCCCUCAAACGUUGUCCGGAUUCAUUGGGUGUAAAGGGUCCGUAGGCGGCUUGGUAAGUUAAUGGUCAAAUUCUGAGGCUUAACUUCAGAACUGCCAUUAAUACUGUCAAGCUAGAGACCGGGAGAGGCAAGCGGAACUGUCGGUGUAGUCGUAAUAAGCGCUGAUAUCGACAGGAACACCAAAGGCGACGGCAGCUUGCUAGAACGUGUCUGACGCUCAGCGACGACAGCGUGGGUAGCGAAUGCGAUUAGAUACCCUAGUAGUCCACGCGCUAAACGAUGUGCCCUAGGUAUUGACGAGUAUCGACCCUCUCAGUGCCGUUCAAAAAAGCUAACGCGUUAAGUGCACCGACUGCGGAGUACGGCCGCAUGGCUAAAACUCAAAGAGAUAGACGGGGAUCCGCACAAGCGGUGAUCAUGCUGUUUAAUUCGACGAUACGCGAGGAACCUCACCAAGACUUGACAUAUAGCUGCAAGCUCUUAGAAAUAAGAGCCUCCUUCGAGGGUGCUAUACAGGUGCUGCAUGGUUGCCGUCAGCUCGUGCCGUGAGGUGUACCGUUAAGUCGGGUAACGAGCGCAACCCUCGCUGUGUGUUAAAUGUACACGCAGGACUGCCUGGGUAACCAGGAGGAAGGCGAGGACGACGUCAAAUCAGCAUGGCCCUUACGUCUUGGGCAACACGCAUGAUACAAUGGCCGGUACAAAGGGUAGCCAAACCGCGAGGUGGAGCCAAUCCCAAAAAAUCGGUCUCAGUUCAGAUUGUAGGCUGCAAUUCGCCUACAUGAAGUUGGAAUCGCUAGUAACCGCGAAUCAGAACGUCGCGGUGAAUACGUUCUCGGGUCUUGUACUCACCGCCCGUCACACCACGAAAGUUGGCAGUACCCGAAGGCUCUCGCAAGAGGGACGAAGGUAAGGUCAGUGAUCAGGGUGAAGUCGUAACAAGGUAGCCGUA
This 1461-nucleotide ribosomal RNA is filed under the name uncultured bacterium. RNAcentral's name for it is "bacterial SSU rRNA". It matches the Rfam family "Bacterial small subunit ribosomal RNA". The record is from RNAcentral.